UACCUGCCAGGAACAUACAUGUACUCAGGUUACCUCCGUGUAAUAAUAAAAGUAAUGGUCAGAAUGAUGAUGGCCCCUUACAUUUGUAUCAUCUUUCUUUCAGCUUCUAAAGGACUUUCCCGUUUACUAUCUCACAACUGACAUAGUUAAAGUUGAUGUUAUUUAUAGACUCAUAACUGAGAGCCUCAAAGACCUUGGAGAUUGUAAUCUAGCCAUUUUAUGGCUAGAUGGGGACGAGGAAACCCAAAUUAAGUCCGGCUCCAUUCUUCUUGCCCAUACCUGCUGUCUCCAGCGUUGGCCACAUACAUCUUCCCUAGGAGGUAGACCACAACCAGGGCACAGCAACCACCGACUGCAUGCUGACUCCUCUGCUCUCGUGCCAUGUGCUCAUCCUACCAUCAGGGAACGGCGGGAGAAGUGUGAAGGGGUACCUUCCAUCAGCAUCCACAAUGUCUCCCUCCCCACCCCGAUACUCUUCUUGCCUCUUACCAUGAACUGGAAGGCGUUCUCAAUGGCUCCCAC
Long non-coding RNA from Antechinus flavipes (yellow-footed antechinus), 522 nucleotides. RefSeq lists it as uncharacterized. The record is from RefSeq and is a predicted model, not a curated record. The transcript is spliced from 3 exons. NCBI's taxonomy places the organism in Eukaryota, Metazoa, Chordata, Mammalia, Dasyuromorphia, Dasyuridae.